CCUACGGGAGGCAGCAGUGGGGAAUAUUGGGCAAUGGGCGAAAGCCUGACCCAGCGACGCCGCGUGGGGGAUGAAGGCCUUCGGGUCAUAAACCCCUGUCAGGAGGGACGAAGCCCUGAUCAUAUAUCAGGGUGACGGUACCUCCAGAGGAAGCCCCGGCUAACUACGUGCCAGCAGCCGCGGUAAAACGUAGGGGGCAAGCGUUGUCCGGAUUCACUGGGCGUAAAGGGUCCGUAGGCGGCCUGCUAAGUCGGACGUGAAAGACCCUGGCUUAACUGGGAAAUUGCGUCCGAAACUGGUGGGCUAGAGCCCAGGAGAGGAAAGUGGAAUUCCCGGUGUAGCGGUGAAAUGCGCAGAUAUCGGGAGGAGCACCAGUGGGGAAGCCGGCUUUCUGGCCUGUGGCUGACGCUGAGGGACGAAAGCCGGGGGAGCGAACCGGAUUAGAUCCCCCGGUAGU
RNAcentral lists this ribosomal RNA (457 nucleotides) under uncultured bacterium. RNAcentral describes it as "partial 16S ribosomal RNA". It matches the Rfam family "Bacterial small subunit ribosomal RNA", at positions 338 to 794 of the family's 1533-position model. The record is from RNAcentral.